CCCUUAGAUGUUCUGGGCCGCACGCGCGCUACACUGAUGCAUUCAACGAGUCUAAAACCUGCUCUGAUAGGGGUGGGUAAUCUUUUGAAUGUGCAUCGUGAUUGGGAUAGAUGAUUGCAAUUUUUCAUCUUCAACGAGGAAUGCCUAGUAAACGCAAGUCAUCAGCUUGCAUUGAUUACGUCCCUGCCCUUUGUACACACCGCCCGUCGCUCCUACCGAUUGAAUGAUCCGAUGAAUAUCAUGGAUUGAGGAUGCAAGUGGGUUCGCCUAUCUUCAUCUUCGAGAAGUGAAGUAAAUCUUAUCAUUUAGAGGAAGGAGAAGUCGUAACA
Molecule: ribosomal RNA, 329 nt
Filed under: uncultured eukaryote
Lineage: Eukaryota
Description: partial 18S ribosomal RNA
Rfam family: Eukaryotic small subunit ribosomal RNA
Source: RNAcentral